This 490-nucleotide ribosomal RNA is filed under the name uncultured Sphingobacteriales bacterium. RNAcentral describes it as "bacterial SSU rRNA". It matches the Rfam family "Bacterial small subunit ribosomal RNA", at positions 887 to 1382 of the family's 1533-position model. Lineage: Bacteria; Pseudomonadati; Bacteroidota; Sphingobacteriia; Sphingobacteriales. The record is from RNAcentral.
GCCCGCUCAAGAACUCAAUAGAAUUGAGGGGGCCCGCACAAGCGGUGGAGCAUGUGGUUUAAUUCGAUGAUACGCGAGGAACCUUACCUGGGCUCAAAUGUAUGUUGACGUAUUCUGAAAGGGAUACUUCUUCGGACAAUAUACAAGGUGCUGCAUGGUUGUCGUCAGCUCGUGCCGUGAGGUGUCGGGUUAAGUCCCAUAACGAGCGCAACCCCUACCUUUAGUUGCCAUCAGGUAAUGCUGGGGACUCUAAAGGAACUGCCUACGCAAGUAGUGAGGAAGGCGGGGAUGACGUCAAAUCAGCACGGCCCUUACGUCCAGGGCUACACACGUGCUACAAUGGCCGAUACAGAGGGCAGCUACCUGGUGACAGGAUGCAAAUCUCCAAAGUCGGUCUCAGUUCGGAUCGGAGUCUGCAACCCGACUCCGUGAAGUUGGAUUCGCUAGUAAUCGCGCAUCAGCCAUGGCGCGGUGAAUACGUUCCGGCCUU